AACUAAUGUAACCUGUAUGCUUGUAGAUAAUACCAGGAAGUACUUUUUUUUAAAGCGUUUACAACUUUGACUAACGAGUAGGCAAGAUGCGUAUCAUCAUAGAUUUGUGCAUACUAUCUAUUUAUUUAUGUAAAACUGUGUUUUCAAAAUGCAAUAUUACAUUAGAUAUAUUAGGACACAAGGAAGCCAAUUGUAAAGAUCAAGGAUUAACAACUGUUCCUAUUAAUUUAGCACGUGAUAUUAAUAAAUUGGAUUUAAGUUAUAACAAACUGACUAGACUGGAUGCUAACAUACUUCUUAGAUAUAAGUAUCUAGAACAUAUAAUGCUUGAUAACAAUGCUAUUAGUCUAUUGCAUAAAAAGGCUUUUAACGGCUUAUCAUUGUUGACUCAUUUGUCUAUGUCAAACAAUUAUCUGAAUGUAGCUGAAUCGUAUCCCACUGGAGUGUUCGAAUCCUUAAAGAAUUUAUCCGUUUUAGACAUUAGUAGAAAUAUGAAAUCAAAACAUUACAUACCGUAUAGUCUUCCCGUUGGUGAAAUCGGUAACUUGCGCGAACUGUCAAUUGAUCUUGUGUUUAACGCAUCGUUCGGACAGGAAUUCAAGAAAUUGAUCAAUUUACAAACGUUGAGAUUUGACUACUGCCAUGUGAAUUUUUUAUACAAUGGAACAUUUUCAGAAAUGCCAGUACACAUAAAGGAAUUCCACAUGACAACUUGUAAAGAUUUUGUCGUUGUUGAAAUUGGUGUUUUAGUUCCAUUUCCACAUCUUAAGGUACUUAAUAUCACUAACAGCAAUAUUCACUUAACACAGGCUCUCCGAAUUUUACAUCCGUUUCAGAAUAAAUCAAUGGAAGCAAUUCUUUUUCGUGGGAUUACUUAUGUCAAUUUCAAAC
Molecule: long non-coding RNA, 891 nt
Filed under: Mytilus galloprovincialis (Mediterranean mussel)
Lineage: Eukaryota; Metazoa; Mollusca; Bivalvia; Mytilida; Mytilidae
Source: RNAcentral